ACUGGUGAUAGCUCAGUCAGUAGGGCAUGAGACUCAUAAUCUCAGGGUUGUGGGUUUGAGCCCCAUGUUCGGUA
Molecule: non-coding RNA, 74 nt
Organism: Podarcis lilfordi (Lilford's wall lizard)
Lineage: Eukaryota; Metazoa; Chordata; Lepidosauria; Squamata; Lacertidae
Source: the annotation of a GenBank genome assembly